GGGUGACUGCGUACCUUUUGUAUAAUGGGUCAGCGACUUAUAUUCUGUAGCAAGGUUAACCGUAUAGGGGAGCCGCAGGGAAACCGAGUCUUAACUGGGCGUUAAGUUGCAGGGUAUAGACCCGAAACCCGGUGAUCUAGCCAUGGGCAGGUUGAAGGUUGGGUAACACUAACUGGAGGACCGAACCGACUAAUGUUGAAAAAUUAGCGGAUGACUUGUGGCUGGGGGUGAAAGGCCAAUCAAACCGGGAGAUAGCUGGUUCUCCCCGAAAGCUAUUUAGGUAGCGCCUCGUGAACUCAUCUUCGGGGGUAGAGCACUGUUUCGGCUAGGGGGUCAUCCCGACUUACCAACCCGAUGCAAACUACGAAUACCGAAGAAUGUUAUCACGGGAGACACACGGCGGGUGCUAACGUCCGUCGUGAAGAGGGAAACAACCCAGACCGCCAGCUAAGGUCCCAAAGUCAUGGUUAAGUGGGAAACGAUGUGGGAAGGCCCAGACAGCCAGGAUGUUGGCUUAGAAGCAGCCAUCAUUUAAAGAAAGCGUAAUAGCUCACUGGUCGAGUCGGCCUGCGCGGAAGAUGUAACGGGGCUAAACCAUGCACCGAAGCUGCGGCAGCGACACUAUGUGUUGUUGGGUAGGGGAGCGUUCUGUAAGCCGUUGAAGGUGGCCUGUGAGGGUUGCUGGAGGUAUCAGAAGUGCGAAUGCUGACAUAAGUAACGAUAAUGCGGGUGAAAAACCCGCACGCCGGAAGACCAAGGGUUCCUGUCCAACGUUAAUCGGGGCAGGGUGAGUCGACCCCUAAGGCGAGGCCGAAAGGCGUAGUCGAUGGGAAACAGGUUAAUAUUCCUGUACUCGGUGUUACUGCGAAGGGGGGACGGAGAAGGCUAUGUUGGCCGGGCGACGGUUGUCCCGGUUUAAGCAUGUAGGCGGAUGUUCCAGGUAAAUCCGGAACGUUAUUAACGCUGAGGUGUGAUGACGAGGCACUACGGUGCUGAAGUGACAAAUGCCCUGCUUCCAGGAAAAGCCUCUAAGCAUCAGGUAACAUCAAAUCGUACCCCAAACCGACACAGGUGGUCAGGUAGAGAAUACCAAGGCGCUUGAGAGAACUCGGGUGAAGGAACUAGGCAAAAUGGUGCCGUAACUUCGGGAGAAGGCACGCUGAUGGUAGGUGAAGUGACUUGCUCAUGGAGCUGAAAUCAGUCGAAGAUACCAGCUGGCUGCAACUGUUUAUUAAAAACACAGCACUGUGCAAACACGAAAGUGGACGUAUACGGUGUGACGCCUGCCCGGUGCCGGAAGGUUAAUUGAUGGGGUUAUCCGUAAGGAGAAGCUCUUGAUCGAAGCCCCGGUAAACGGCGGCCGUAACUAUAACGGUCCUAAGGUAGCGAAAUUCCUUGUCGGGUAAGUUCCGACCUGCACGAAUGGCGUAAUGAUGGCCAGGCUGUCUCCACCCGAGACUCAGUGAAAUUGAACUCGCUGUGAAGAUGCAGUGUACCCGCGGCAAGACGGAAAGACCCCGUGAACCUUUACUAUAGCUUGACACUGAACACUGGUCCUUGAUGUGUAGGAUAGGUGGGAGGCUUUGAAGUGUGGACGCCAGUCUGCAUGGAGCCAUCCUUGAAAUACCACCCUUUAAUGGCUGGUGUUCUAACGUGGGCCCCUGAUCGGGGUUGCGGACAGUGUCUGGUGGGUAGUUUGACUGGGGCGGUCUCCUCCUAAAGAGUAACGGAGGAGCACGAAGGUCAGCUAAUCCUGGUCGGACAUCAGGAGGUUAGUGCAAUGGCAUAAGCUGGCUUGACUGCGAGCGUGACGGCGCGAGCAGGUGCGAAAGCAGGUCAUAGUGAUCCGGUGGUUCUGAAUGGAAGGGCCAUCGCUCAACGGAUAAAAGGUACUCCGGGGAUAACAGGCUGAUACCGCCCAAGAGUUCAUAUCGACGGCGGUGUUUGGCACCUCGAUGUCGGCUCAUCACAUCCUGGGGCUGAAGUAGGUCCCAAGGGUAUGGCUGUUCGCCAUUUAAAGUGGUACGCGAGCUGGGUUUAGAACGUCGUGAGACAGUUCGGUCCCUAUCUGCCGUGGGCGCUGGAGAAUUGAGGGGGGCUGCUCCUAGUACGAGAGGACCGGAGUGGACGCAUCACUGGUGUUCGGGUUGUCAUGCCAAUGGCAUUGCCCGGUAGCUAAAUGCGGAAGAGAUAAGUGCUGAAAGCAUCUAAGCACGAAACUUGCCCCGAGAUGAGUUCUCCCUGAC
This 2246-nucleotide ribosomal RNA is filed under the name Klebsiella michiganensis. RNAcentral describes it as "partial 23S ribosomal RNA". It matches the Rfam family "Bacterial large subunit ribosomal RNA", at positions 591 to 2819 of the family's 2925-position model. The record is from RNAcentral. Lineage: Bacteria; Pseudomonadati; Pseudomonadota; Gammaproteobacteria; Enterobacterales; Enterobacteriaceae.